AGAGAGGUUAAAUACUCCCCAGAGACAGGUAGUAACCAAAGCCCCUCAGCACAAACACGCAUGGUAGUAAAUCACAAAGAUGGCAGUUGUCACUGGCAGGGAGGUCAAAAGAAUGACGUGUUUCUUCCAGCUGUCACAGGAGGCACAGAUAUAUA
Lampris incognitus (smalleye Pacific opah) is the source of this 155-nucleotide long non-coding RNA. RefSeq lists it as uncharacterized. The record is from RefSeq and is a predicted model, not a curated record. Lineage: Eukaryota; Metazoa; Chordata; Actinopteri; Lampriformes; Lampridae. The transcript has 3 exons.